RNAcentral lists this ribosomal RNA (488 nucleotides) under uncultured bacterium. Its description in RNAcentral is "bacterial SSU rRNA". It matches the Rfam family "Bacterial small subunit ribosomal RNA", at positions 501 to 987 of the family's 1533-position model. The record is from RNAcentral.
CUACGUGCCAGCAGCCGCGGUAAUACGUAGGGCGCGAGCGUUGUCCGGAAUUAUUGGGCGUAAAGGGCUUGUAGGCGGUUGGUCGCGUCUGCCGUGAAAUCCUCUGGCUUAACUGGGGGCGUGCGGUGGGUACGGGCUGACUUGAGUGCGGUAGGGGAGACUGGAACUCCUGGUGUAGCGGUGGAAUGCGCAGAUAUCAGGAAGAACACCGGUGGCGAAGGCGGGUCUCUGGGCCGUUACUGACGCUGAGGAGCGAAAGCGUGGGGAGCGAACAGGAUUAGAUACCCUGGUAGUCCACGCUGUAAACGUUGGGCACUAGAUGUGGGGGCCACCCGUGGUUUCUGCGCCGUAGCUAACGCUUUAAGUGCCCCGCCUGGGGAGUACGGCCGCAAGGCUAAAACUCAAAGAAAUUGACGGGGGCCCGCACAAGCGGCGGAGCAUGCGGAUUAAUUCGAUGCAACGCGAAGAACCUUACCAAGGCUUGACAU